Molecule: non-coding RNA, 135 nt
Organism: Triticum aestivum (bread wheat)
Lineage: Eukaryota; Viridiplantae; Streptophyta; Magnoliopsida; Poales; Poaceae
Source: Rfam
AUGGUAUUCCCUCCGUUCCAAAAUUCUUGUUUUAGAUUUAUCUAAAUACGGAUAUAUCAAGUCACGUUUUAGUAUUUGGUACAUCCGUAUCUAGACUAAUCUAAAACAAGAAUUUUAGGAUGAAGAGAAUACGAU